AUUGAACGCUGGCGGCGUGCUUAACACAUGCAAGUCGAACGCGAAAGGGACUUCGGUCCUGAGUAAAGUGGCGCANGGGUGAGUAACGCGUGGAUAAUCUGCCCUUAUGAUUGGAAUAACAGUUGGAAACGGCUGCUAAUACCGGAUACGCUCAAAAUGAACUUUUUGAGGAAAGAUGGCCUCUGCUUGCAUGCUAUCGCAUAAGGAUGAGUCCGCGUCCCAUUAGCUUGUUGGCGGGGUAACGGCCCACCAAGGCAACGAUGGGUAGCCGAUUUGAGAGGAUGAUCGGCCACACUGGAACUGAAACACGGUCCAGACUCCUACGGGAGGCAGCAGUGGGGAAUAUUGCGCAAUGGGCGAAAGCCUGACGCAGCGACGCCNCGUGAGGGAUGAAGGUUUUCGGAUCGUAAACCUCUGUCAGAAGGGAAGAAACUACGUUGUGCUAAUCAGCAGCGUACUGACGGUACCUUCAAAGGAAGCACCGGCUAACUCCGUGCC
This 498-nucleotide ribosomal RNA is filed under the name uncultured bacterium. RNAcentral's name for it is "bacterial SSU rRNA". It matches the Rfam family "Bacterial small subunit ribosomal RNA", at positions 30 to 509 of the family's 1533-position model. The record is from RNAcentral.